CCUACGGGAGGCAGCAGUGGGGAAUAUUGGACAAUGGGCGAAAGCCUGAUCCAGCCAUGCCGCGUGUGUGAAGAAGGUCUUCGGAUUGUAAAGCACUUUAAGUUGGGAGGAAGGGUCGUAACCUAAUACGUUGCGAUUUUGACGUUACCAACAGAAUAAGCACCGGCUAACUUCGUGCCAGCAGCCGCGGUAAU
Molecule: ribosomal RNA, 194 nt
Filed under: uncultured bacterium
Lineage: Bacteria
Description: partial 16S ribosomal RNA
Rfam family: Bacterial small subunit ribosomal RNA
Source: RNAcentral